RNAcentral lists this long non-coding RNA (621 nucleotides) under Pogona vitticeps (central bearded dragon). RNAcentral's name for it is "lncRNA (ENSPVIG00000002667.1)". The record is from RNAcentral. Lineage: Eukaryota; Metazoa; Chordata; Lepidosauria; Squamata; Agamidae.
CCUUUUUCAAUCCUAGGUUGAAACAGGAUUGGUUAAUUGCUAUACUUUCCUCACUAGAUCAGGGUAGCAUAAUAGGCUUUUACAAGUCCUGCGCAGUGGCGGCAGACCACGUGAACAGCAGCUUCAUAUUUGACUUUGGAGAUGAAGGAAGCCUGUCUAUUGCUUCUCGGCUUUGCAACGAUACAGACUGCCAGCCUUCAUUUGACUGUCCCACUAAAAUACCAUUCGCUGCAAAAGGAUGUGCUCGUACUGACUAUGAUGGUGAUAUCUCCGAGAAAGCACCAGUGACAAUUGAGUCGGGAAUAUACACCUACAAAUUUGUCAAAGUCACCUUUCGACCCGCCAACAGUGCUUUGGCAGCCAUGCGACGCAUCGCGUUUACUCUGGACUACAAAGACCUUGGUCCUCAACUUGCUUUUUUCUUCCCAUGCUUCUUGGGCGUCUUUGCGGUGAAAAUCUUUUCCUGAUGAAGAAAGAGCCAGCUAGCAUCUUGGACAGCUUAAGGCAUAAUGACGAUCCCUUUGCAAACUGAUACAGUAUUUUUAAUGCUUAUUCAAAAAACGGUGAGGUAUAGAUUUAAAUAUAAAUAAAAGUCACCUGGCUAAACUUAUCUGAGUGUGA